Molecule: small nucleolar RNA, 56 nt
Filed under: Geoglobus ahangari
Lineage: Archaea; Methanobacteriati; Methanobacteriota; Archaeoglobi; Archaeoglobales; Archaeoglobaceae
Description: Pyrococcus C/D box small nucleolar RNA
Rfam family: Pyrococcus C/D box small nucleolar RNA
About the family: Computational screens have identified C/D box snoRNAs in a number of archaeal genomes. This family represents several related snoRNAs from Pyrococcus.
Source: Rfam by way of RNAcentral
GCCGAUGAUGAAAUUUGAACAUUCUGAAGGGUGAUGAGCCUCCACGGCUCUGAGGC